AUGAUUGCAUUGUGGGCCACCAGGGUUCGUCUUUCUUAUCUCCAUGUCCCUUUUCUCGUAUUUCAGUCCACCACGCCUGAAGCUCGGGAUCUUCCUGAACCAUUUCAUCACUCUUGUAGUAAAGAUUGCAGUAAUCCUGAACCCAUGUUUUGAUUGCUCCCCAGAUCUCGAGUCCAUCAACAGCAAAAGGAUAGUCCUCUAUCAGUAAUCGCACUCCAUGUGGGCAGCUAGAGUCUUUGAUUGCCACCCCUCUGCAAAUUCGUAGAUAGUUAGCAAGAGAUGUAAGUUCAAACUUUUGAGAAAGCUUUAGAGUUAUUUUCGUUCAGUUUUUACAAAAUUAUGGAGCAAUGUUAUGGAAGGGAUUGAUUGGACAGUGUCUUAGAAUUUUUUAUCUGAUGAGUGAUCAUUAUUUGCAAUCUCAUGACAAUAGUAUCAUAUUGUAGAGCUCAAUACACAUGUACCUUUUUAUAAGGUCUCCUGGAAGUGCUUGCUCUGGGAAAACCCAGUCCUUAUAAACCAUAGAUGACAUUUCCAAAGAAUAUUUUCCUGGAAAUACUGUCAUCUCAACAAACCCUCCAGCACAUAUAAGGGCUUGACGAGCUAGUGCAUUUAUAUUCAU
Molecule: long non-coding RNA, 619 nt
Filed under: Salvia miltiorrhiza (redroot sage)
Lineage: Eukaryota; Viridiplantae; Streptophyta; Magnoliopsida; Lamiales; Lamiaceae
Description: long non-coding RNA (SMIL_LNC007273)
Source: RNAcentral